RNAcentral lists this ribosomal RNA (214 nucleotides) under Aspergillus penicillioides. RNAcentral describes it as "partial large subunit ribosomal RNA". The record is from RNAcentral. Lineage: Eukaryota; Fungi; Ascomycota; Eurotiomycetes; Eurotiales; Aspergillaceae.
AAGCGCUUGCGACUAGACUCGCCCACGGGGUUCAGCCGGCUUUCGGGCCGGUGUACUUCCCCGGGGGCGGGCCAGCGUCGGUUUGGGCGGCCGGUCAAAGGCCCCCGGAAUGUAACGCCCCCUCGGGGGCGUCUUAUAGCCGGGGGUGUCAUGCGGCCAGCCCGGACCGAGGAACGCGCUUUGGCACGGACGCUGGCAUAAUGGUCGCAAACGA